This 2483-nucleotide ribosomal RNA is filed under the name Listeria welshimeri. RNAcentral's name for it is "partial 23S ribosomal RNA". It matches the Rfam family "Bacterial large subunit ribosomal RNA", at positions 446 to 2925 of the family's 2925-position model. Lineage: Bacteria; Bacillati; Bacillota; Bacilli; Caryophanales; Listeriaceae. The record is from RNAcentral.
GGGAGGACCAUCUCCCAAGGCUAAAUACUCCCUAGUGACCGAUAGUGAACCAGUACCGUGAGGGAAAGGUGAAAAGCACCCCGGAAGGGGAGUGAAACAGUUCCUGAAACCGUGUGCCUACAAGUAGUUAGAGCCCGUUAAUGGGUGAUAGCGUGCCUUUUGUAGAAUGAACCGGCGAGUUACGAUUUGUUGCAAGGUUAAGCGGAAAAAGCGGAGCCGUAGCGAAAGCGAGUCUGAAUAGGGCGCAUAAGUAACAGGUCGUAGACCCGAAACCAGGUGAUCUACCCAUGUCCAGGAUGAAGGUAAGGUAAUACUUACUGGAGGUCCGAACCCACGCACGUUGAAAAGUGCGGGGAUGAGGUGUGGGUAGCGGAGAAAUUCCAAUCGAACUUGGAGAUAGCUGGUUCUCUCCGAAAUAGCUUUAGGGCUAGCCUCGAGGUAAAGAGUCAUGGAGGUAGAGCACUGUUUGGACUAGGGGCCCUUCUCGGGUUACCGAAUUCAGAUAAACUCCGAAUGCCAUGUACUUAUACUCGGGAGUCAGACUGCGAGUGAUAAGAUCCGUAGUCGAAAGGGAAACAGCCCAGACCACCAGUUAAGGUCCCCAAAUAUAUGUUAAGUGGAAAAGGAUGUGGGGUUGCUUAGACAACCAGGAUGUUGGCUUAGAAGCAGCCACCAUUGAAAGAGUGCGUAAUAGCUCACUGGUCGAGUGACCCCGCGCCGAAAAUGUACCGGGGCUAAACAUAUUACCGAAACUGUGGAUGAACCUCUUCGGAGGUUCGUGGUAGGAGAGCGUUCUAAGGGCGGUGAAGUCAGACCGGAAGGACUGGUGGAGCGCUUAGAAGUGAGAAUGCCGGUAUGAGUAGCGAAAGAAGGGUGAGAAUCCCUUCCACCGAAUAUCUAAGGUUUCCUGAGGAAGGCUCGUCCGCUCAGGGUUAGUCGGGACCUAAGCCGAGGCCGAUAGGCGUAGGCGAUGGACAACAGGUAGAGAUUCCUGUACCAGUGCUAAUUGUUUAACCGAUGGGGUGACACAGAAGGAUAGGGAAUCGCACGAAUGGAAAUGUGCGUCCAAGCAGUGAGUGUGAGAAGUAGGCAAAUCCGCUUCUCGCGAAGCAUGAGCUGUGAUGGGGAAGGAAAUAAAGUACGGAAGUUCCUGAUUUCACGCUGUCAAGAAAAGCCUCUAGGAAGAGUAGUACUGCCCGUACCGCAAACCGACACAGGUAGAUGAGGAGAGAAUCCUAAGGUGAGCGAGAGAACUCUCGUUAAGGAACUCGGCAAAAUGACCCCGUAACUUCGGGAGAAGGGGUGCUCUAUUAGGGUGCAAGCCCGAGAGAGCCGCAGUGAAUAGGCCCAGGCGACUGUUUAGCAAAAACACAGGUCUCUGCAAAACCGUAAGGUGACGUAUAGGGGCUGACGCCUGCCCGGUGCUGGAAGGUUAAGAGGAGUGCUUAGCUUCGGCGAAGGUACGAAUUGAAGCCCCAGUAAACGGCGGCCGUAACUAUAACGGUCCUAAGGUAGCGAAAUUCCUUGUCGGGUAAGUUCCGACCCGCACGAAAGGCGCAACGAUCUGGGCACUGUCUCAACGAGAGACUCGGUGAAAUUAUAGUACCUGUGAAGAUGCAGGUUACCCGCGACAGGACGGAAAGACCCCGUGGAGCUUUACUGCAACCUGAUAUGGAAUGUUUGUACCGCUUGUACAGGAUAGGUAGGAGCCGAAGAGACGUGUGCGCUAGCAUACGAGGAGGCAAUGGUGGGAUACUACCCUGGCUGUAUGACCAUUCUAACCCGCCACGCUUAGCGCGUGGGGAGACAGUGUCAGGUGGGCAGUUUGACUGGGGCGGUCGCCUCCUAAAGAGUAACGGAGGCGCCCAAAGGUUCCCUCAGAAUGGAUGGAAAUCAUUCGCAGAGUGUAAAGGCACAAGGGAGCUUGACUGCGAGACUGACAAGUCGAGCAGGGACGAAAGUCGGGCUUAGUGAUCCGGUGGUUCCGCAUGGAAGGGCCAUCGCUCAACGGAUAAAAGCUACCCCGGGGAUAACAGGCUUAUCUCCCCCAAGAGUCCACAUCGACGGGGAGGUUUGGCACCUCGAUGUCGGCUCGUCGCAUCCUGGGGCUGUAGUCGGUCCCAAGGGUUGGGCUGUUCGCCCAUUAAAGCGGCACGCGAGCUGGGUUCAGAACGUCGUGAGACAGUUCGGUCCCUAUCCGUCGCGGGCGCAGGAAAUUUGAGAGGAGCUGUCCUUAGUACGAGAGGACCGGGAUGGACACACCGCUGGUGUACCAGUUGUUCCGCCAGGAGCAUCGCUGGGUAGCUAUGUGUGGCAGGGAUAAACGCUGAAAGCAUCUAAGCGUGAAGCCCCCCUCAAGAUGAGAUUUCCCAUUUCUUCGGAAAGUAAGAUCCCUGAAAGAUGAUCAGGUAGAUAGGUUUGGAGUGGAAGUGUAGCGAUACAUGGAGCGGACAAAUACUAAUCGAUCGAGGACUUAACCAAAA